This 462-nucleotide ribosomal RNA is filed under the name uncultured bacterium. RNAcentral's name for it is "partial 16S ribosomal RNA". It matches the Rfam family "Bacterial small subunit ribosomal RNA", at positions 28 to 506 of the family's 1533-position model. The record is from RNAcentral.
GAUGAACGCUGACAGAAUGCUUAACACAUGCAAGUCGAUGGGGAAGUGGUGCUUGCACCAUGGUAACCAUGGCGGACGGGUGAGUAACGCGUAAGGAACUUACCUGCGGGACCGGGAUAACAGCAGGAAACUGCUGACAAGACCGGAUAAGGUCAUUAAGCUGCAUAGCUUAGUGAUGAAAGGAGACGCCUGCGGAGAGCCUUGCGUCCUAUUAGCUAGUUGGAGGGGUAACGGCCCACCAAGGCGAAGAUAGGUAGCCGGCCUGAGAGGGUGGACGGCCACAAGGGGACUGAGAUACGGCCCUUACUCCUACGGGAGGCAGCAGUGGGGAAUAUUGGACAAUGGGGGCAACCCUGAUCCAGCAAUUCUGUGUGCACGAAGACGGUUUUCGGAUUGUAAAGUGCUUUCAGCAGGGAAGAAGGAAGUGACGGUACCUGCAGAAGAAGCGACGGCUAAAUACGU